This 376-nucleotide ribosomal RNA is filed under the name uncultured bacterium. RNAcentral's name for it is "partial 16S ribosomal RNA". It matches the Rfam family "Bacterial small subunit ribosomal RNA", at positions 355 to 722 of the family's 1533-position model. The record is from RNAcentral.
UGGGGAAUAUUGCACAAUGGGCGCAAGCCUGAUGCAGCCAUGCCGCGUGUGUGAAGAAGGCCUUCGGGUUGUAAAGCACUUUCAGCGAGGAGGAAAGGUGGUGAAGCUUAAUACGUCAUCAAUUGACGUUACUCGCAGAAGAAGCACCGGCUAACUCCGUGCCAGCAGCCGCGGUAAUACGGAGGGUGCAAGCGUUAAUCGGAAUUACUGGGCGUAAAGCGCACGCAGGCGGUUUGUUAAGUCAGAUGUGAAAUCCCCGGGCUCAACCUGGGAACUGCAUUUGAAACUGGCAAGCUAGAGUCUCGUAGAGGGGGGUAGAAUUCCAGGUGUAGCGGUGAAAUGCGUAGAGAUCUGGAGGAAUACCGGUGGCGAAGGC